Molecule: ribosomal RNA, 453 nt
Filed under: uncultured bacterium
Lineage: Bacteria
Description: bacterial SSU rRNA
Rfam family: Bacterial small subunit ribosomal RNA
Source: RNAcentral
GAUGAACGCUGGCGGCGUGCUUAACACAUGCGAGUCGAACGGGAUCGGCUGGAGCUUGCUCCGGCCGUGAGAGUGGCGAACGGGUGAGUAAUGCGUGACCGACCUGCCCCAUACACCGGAAUAGCUCCUGGAAACGGGUGGUAAUGCCGGAUGCUCCGACAUGACGCAUGUCGUGUUGGGAAAGAUUCAUCGGUAUGGGAUGGGGUCGCGUCCUAUCAGGUAGUCGGCGGGGUAACGGCCCACCGAGCCUACGACGGGUAGCCGGCCUGAGAGGGCGACCGGCCACAUUGGGACUGAGAUACGGCCCAGACUCCUACGGGAGGCAGCAGUGGGGAAUAUUGCACAAUGGGCGCAAGCCUGAUGCAGCGACGCCGCGUGCGGGAUGACGGCCUUCGGGUUGUAAACCGCUUUUGACUGGGAGCAAGCCCUUCGGGGUGAGUGUACCUUUCGAAU